This 1343-nucleotide ribosomal RNA is filed under the name uncultured bacterium. RNAcentral describes it as "16S ribosomal RNA". It matches the Rfam family "Bacterial small subunit ribosomal RNA", at positions 28 to 1378 of the family's 1533-position model. The record is from RNAcentral.
GACGAACGCUUGCGGCGUGCUUAACACAUGCAAGUCGAACGGAAAGGCCCUGCUUUUGUGGGGUGCUCGAGUGGCGAACGGGUGAGUAACACGUGAGUAACCUGCCCUUGACUUUGGGAUAACUUCAGGAAACUGGGGCUAAUACCGGAUAGGAGCUCCUGCUGCAUGGUGGGGGUUGGAAAGUUUCGGCGGUUGGGGAUGGACUCGCGGCUUAUCAGCUUGUUGGUGGGGUAGUGGCUUACCAAGGCUUUGACGGGUAGCCGGCCUGAGAGGGUGACCGGCCACAUUGGGACUGAGAUACGGCCCAGACUCCUACGGGAGGCAGCAGUGGGGAAUAUUGCACAAUGGGCGGAAGCCUGAUGCAGCAACGCCGCGUGCGGGAUGGCGGCCUUCGGGUUGUAAACCGCUUUCGCCUGUGACGAAGCGUGAGUGACGGUAAUGGGUAAAGAAGCACCGGCUAACUACGUGCCAGCAGCCGCGGUGAUACGUAGGGUGCGAGCGUUGUCCGGAUUUAUUGGGCGUAAAGGGCUCGUAGGUGGUUGAUCGCGUCGGAAGUGUAAUCUUGGGGCUUAACCCUGAGCGUGCUUUCGAUACGGGUUGACUUGAGGAAGGUAGGGGAGAAUGGAAUUCCUGGUGGAGCGGUGGAAUGCGCAGAUAUCAGGAGGAACACCAGUGGCGAAGGCGGUUCUCUGGGCCUUUCCUGACGCUGAGGAGCGAAAGCGUGGGGAGCGAACAGGCUUAGAUACCCUGGUAGUCCACGCUGUAAACGGUGGGUACUAGGUGUGGGGUCCAUUCCACGGGUUCCGUGCCGUAGCUAACGCUUUAAGUACCCCGCCUGGGGAGUACGGCCGCAAGGCUAAAACUCAAAGGAAUUGACGGGGCCCCGCACAAGCGGCGGAGCAUGCGGAUUAAUUCGAUGCAACGCGUAGAACCUUACCUGGGUUUGACAUGGAUCGGGAGUGCUCAGAGAUGGGUGUGCCUCUUUUGGGGUCGGUUCACAGGUGGUGCAUGCCUGUCGUCAGCUCGUGUCGUGAGAUGUUGGGUUAAGUCCCGCAACGAGCGCAACCCUUGUUCACUGUUGCCAGCACGUUAUGGUGGGGACUCAGUGGAGACCGCCGGGGUCAACUCGGAGGAAGGUGGGGAUGACGUCAAGUCCUCAUGCCCCUUAUGUCCAGGGCUUCACGCAUGCUACAAUGGCUGGUACAGAGAGUGGCGAGCCUGUGAGGGUGAGCGAAUCUCGGAAAGCCGGUCUCAGUUCGGAUUGGGGUCUGCAACUCGACCUCAUGAAGUCGGAGUCGCUAGUAAUCGCAGAUCAGCAACGCUGCGGUGAAUACGUUCCCGGG